CAUCCUUCAAGAAAUUUUUGAUCACGUCGAGACUCCCAGCUAGCUUUGCUGCAUCUUUGUCGAGACCUCGGAUUUGAGAGAUCUCUUUCUUGCAGAGGUCGAUGAGGUUUUGAACUAGAACUUCAACGGCAGCAGCAGCUCCUCCUUCCAUUCUUUGUGCUGAUAACUUAAGAGAGAGAAAGAGAGAAAUUGAGUGAGAGAGAUAGCAAAGCAGUAGAAUUGGAUGAGUGAUGCAAGCUCAAGACUUUACAGCCUUUCAUUCUAUAUCUAGAUAUGGAUUUCUUUUUUUCAUUUUUUAUAGUAUUUCAAUCUUUGCCGACACUUUUUUUUAAUACUUUGACUUUGACUAGUUAGCUCAUGAAAGAUUUGGUGGGUAGUAUUAAUAUAAAUUUUUUUUAUCAUGAAUAUAUUUUUGCAUCCACUCAAACCCCACUAAUAUGUCCUAUUUAAAACCAUUACCAAAAAGUUGAAGCUUAAGAAAAUCUCAUAUAUAUAGUCAAAUUAUUGAAUACCAUAAUCAUCAAUUAUUAACUAAAAAAAUUGAAUUUACAAUUAUUUACUCUAAUUGUUUAUAAUUAACCCUAUUGAAUAAUUGCAAAAUCAAACUAUAGCACAGUAAAAUAAAAUUGAAAACAAAACAGUAAAGAAAAAUGAAAAUUGUACAGGUAGAAUACAAAAAAGUGGGAUUGACAAAUGACGAUCUCAAGUGUAUAAGUACCAAAAAGUUGUUAAGAUUUGAUCUCUUCUUGAAUAAUUCGAAAUGAUAAAAUUAGUUUGAUCAAAAAAUAAAAAAGGAAUACUUAGGAGCCGUUCUAUUUGGACCAACCAAAUUAACAUUGUUAACUAAUAUUAUUGCUCGAAAAUAUGCGGCUUAAAAAGAAUCUCAUCAUGGUGGAUCAAUACAUAGAAAUUUUAAUGGGCUUUAAUCAUCAAGGCCCAUCUCUACUCAGUAUCCAGAUAAGCCCAACAAGCUAAUUGAAGCUUCGAAAAAUUGUUCUAUAAGUGCCCUUUGUCAUGAAGAUUCUACGGAGGAGGCACAAUGUUUGCUUACAGAGAUGCAGAGUCAUGGUUGUGCACCUGACGAAGUGACAUACAACAUCAUGACGCGAAGUUUCCUAAAGAAGAAAGAGCUUAGCAAGGCAAUACUAUACUUGGAAGUAAUGCGCGAAAAGGGAAUCUCAGCGGAUGUUUCUACUCUUUCCAUGCUAGUUGAUCAAAUGCAAGGACAAACUAAAGAUGUUUUUCUUCUCAAAUUGAUGAAGGAUGUUUUGCCAAAGGAUAUUGUAUCAUAAUCCACUCAGGCUUCGGGGCUGAUCUCUAGUGUCUUUUUAUAUCUUCUGUUUUUCUUUUUCUUUUUUUUUGUAAAAAAGAUUUUUCUUGUGAUGUUUGGAAGGGUACUUUCUUUUCCUUUAUUUGUGGGUGGUUUUGAAUUAGUCGAUUUGAGUAAUAUUUCUCAUCAUGUGUGCAUAUAUAUUCUCAUAUUUUAAUAGAUUCAUACACUGCAGAAAUAUAUUCAUUUAUGUCUUCUAUUUGUCUUCUGGUUUUUAAUAGAUUCAAGAAUGGAUGUCUUCGAUCUUUGUCUAGUCACAAAUUCAAGCUCAGUAAUAAUGCUUGGGCCUCAAUAAUAAUGUUUGGGCUCAAAAAUAUUUGGGCCUUAUUUGGGCUAAAAAAUUAUUGCAAUUAUAACUUGGCCCAAACUUAAAUUAUAGGAAUUACAUUCUAAGGCCUAUUUUCAAAGCCACUUUAAAAUCAUAAUAAAUAACGUUAAAUAUAUAAAUGAAUUUAUGUUGUUACAAAAACUUUUCUAAUCAUACUUGAAAGGGUUACUUACAUAUAAUAUACUUACAAAUGGCGAACGGAGAAGCUCAUUGCUCCUGCAAGCAAUAAUGGAUACAGGAAUUUAAUCAUGAUCGAGCGAGAUUUCAUCGAAAUUUUGUGAUAAGGUGAAUUUAUAUAAAAAAAAUUAAUCACAUAAAAUAUAUAGGUAAUAAAAAAAAAUAAAAAUAAAAAAUAGACAGGGUGCUUGGCCUCUGCCAACGCCCCUGCCUGCGUGCAUAUUCGAAAAAGAGUUCUAACUUCUGAAUUAUCAAUUAGUAAUUAAUUUCUGGCUUCAACGUAAUACAUAGGCACAAAAUGUUUAAUCCUUUUAAAGACAAAAUACAUAUGAAUUCUGAAUAUAAAAAUGCAGUGAGCUCAUCCAAACACAACAACUUUUUGCAAACAAAUAUCCAUUCAUAAAAUUCACACGAUUCUUCAUCUCUACAAGCAAACGUUCUACCUCCUCCAUAGAUCCUUCUUGACAAAGUGAAUGAAGGAUCAUAUUAUAUAUCCAAACAUUAGGUUGCAAACCUUUAGAAGGAAGUUCCCUCAAAAGAUCUCUUGCAACAUCGCGUUUGCCAUUUUUGCAUAAUCCAUCAUUGCUGAGGAUACUGGUGGGGGCCGGGGCGGUCGAGGUGGGCACGCAUCAGAGCGACGGGCAGAGGCUGAGGUGCGAGGAGGUCGGGGAGCGGAAGGAGCCGAGGGCGAUGUCGAGGGAGUGGACGACGUAUCGCUCGGCGCAUCAGAUGGGGAGCUGCAGAAUGGGGGUGGAUGAAGAGGAAGGAGCAGUUGAUGAGAAUGGGGAGAGUUGGGAGGCAAAGGGGCUGUUUGUGUGUGAUGCGAGUGUGCUGCCGGGAGCUGUUGGUGUUAAUCCAAUGAUCACCAUUCAAUCAACGCCAUAUUGUUUGUCUAAUAAGAUUGCUCAAACAUUGAAGAUGGAGAAGAUGUGAAUCUUCAUUCCUUCUUCAUCAACACAUGCUUGAUGAUUCAACCAUGUUUGUUUCUUGUCUUCACCAUUUGCCUUCUUUAAUACUUGCACCAUGAAAACAUAUACUAUAUAGAUAUAACUGAUACAACCCCCAACAUCAUUUCAUCAAAUUCAAGCUAGCAUGCCUCAAUAUUCAAACAUAAGAAAUAGGCAUUAAUCAUUCAUCAAGAAAUGGAAAAAGCUGGCUACCUCCCUUUUUGCUGGGACUGGAUUCAACUUCCACAGCUGCUGAAUCCUCUUGUUUCACUAUCUUCACAUCUUCAACAUUGUUGUCUGAAUUUUUGUCAUCAUCCUUCUCUUCACAGUCAACAACUACACUGUCGUCAUUCGUCCCCACGAGCAAGCUCGUUGAGGCUGCCUCGCCUCCAAGCUCUUCAAAAGCUCCCCUAUUACUGCCAUGAAUGUUAAAACAAUAACAGAUAGUUCAAGUUUGAUGGGAUGUAACUAACAAUAAACAACUUGCAAUAAGGCUGGACUCUGAUAUCAAAUUAAUAGCUUUUGAAGAAAAAAUCAUAAAAGCAGAACCAUAAACAGAACAAUAGACACAUGCUUGAGAGAUUGACAUUUAGUCCUACACAAAUUAUAUUAAUGGAUCUCAUAUAUAUAUCCUCAUGUCAUCUUGGAAUUUAUUUGAUUCUAUUAGAAACUUUUUUUCUUAAACAGAAUGAGACCUCUAUUCAAUUAGCCAUUCAUUUAUGAAGCUUAUAUGCCCCUCCAAAUCCACCUGAAAAGUAGACAAUCUUCAUCAACACAUGUUUCUUUCUUGUCUUCAUUCUUGUCUUCUUUAAUAAUUACACCAUGAAAACAUAUAAUAUUGAUACAACUGAUACAACCCCAACACCAUUUCAUCAAAUUCAAGCUAGCAUACCUCAACAUUCAAACACAAGAAAAAGCUAAAUGAUUUGAUCUCCUUUGCAUAAACUUGGUUGUGAAUUUCACAUUUUAGCAUUAAGUUGUGUAUGGGCAUAAAUAGUGAUGUGAAUCCUUAGUGUAGACACCAUCUGUUUCUAUAGAUAUAGAAGUGAUCUACUCAAAAUAAUUCCUUACAAUUAAUAAUCAUAUCAACUAAAGUUUAAACAAAGAAUAUACAUGGAAUUACAAAAAAAAUUAUGAAAAGAGGUUGAGCAAGUCACCAUGGAGAAAAUGGAUACUCACUUAUUCCUUCUUCACUAGAUCGCUUGCUUCACUGAAUCACACACAACUGAUUGCUUCUUUCACUUUCCUCGGAAUCAACUGUUUGCUAAGAUGAUUAGUCGCUGUAAAAAUAUAGUAAACAAACUCAAAAUAAUUAAUCUCCUUAUGUUUAAGCAUAUUGAGAUGAAUGAAACAUCACACUAAGGGGUGAGAUCCAUUGUCCACCAAUUUUAUGUAUGUCACUAUAUUUCAUUCUUAUAUCUAUUAUUUUAAUACUAAUAUUUUUUAUAAAAUAAAAUUUAAUACUAUGAAUUAUUCUUAAUAUUUAUUUCAAAAAAAUUAAAUUUUUUAUAAAAUUAUACACCGUAUUUUGAAUUUUUCACUAUUAUUAAUUAAUAAAAGUAAAAUUAAAUGAUGAAAAAUAAUUAUAUACCCUAAUUAGAUGGAAUGAAGUCCAAUUAAUAAUCACAAAAUUAAACUAAAGUAUUCAAAGUUGAAAUUGGAGAAAAAUAUAUAAAAAUAUAAAUAAAAUUGAAAGUUGGGCAUCAAUCCCCAAACUAAGAGCAACUGAAUUAGAAACUCCAUAAAAUAAGACACUUCCUCCGUCCCCGCUUCAAAUGAAAAUAUAGGGCCAUUCCUUAACACACCUUUUACUAGGCUACUUCAAUUAUAAUUAGAAUUUCAUUUUCAAAUAAAAUACACAUGCAACUGUUUCUAGAAAAGAUAUUGAUACUCACCGUCACGGGUUAAUGGAUUUGUUUCCAUUAAGUACUUCGAGGCGCCGCAUUGCAUCCACAGUCUCCAAACUUAAAUUAGGAACGUCUUUGAUUUUCAAUCUUGUUAGACGAGGGAAUAUAGGGAGGGAUGUGAUUGUGAAGCUUCUUCCUUCUGAUUCUUCUUCUCCCCACCUAUCUGAUAUUUCUCUCAAAUUCGGGCACUCUCUUAUUCUCAAAGAAGAGAGAGUCUCGCUGUUACUCAAUAACCAAUCAGCUGGCAGACGUUCCACACCGAUCUCCCUAAUUGACAAAUAUUCAAGGCAUGAUGACGACACAUGACUUGGAACACUCAUCAAUUGCUCACACUUGUAAAUUUCCAAAUGUUGGAGGCGAGGAAAUAGCUUCACUUCACUUCCAUCCCAAAUUUCUAUUUCUGCCCACUCUGCCAGCUUACGCAUGUACCUCAAUUCGAACUUCUCGAGAGCUGGAAAAACAAUGCGUGUGUCGUUGUUCACCAUUCCGUAGAAUGAUGAAUUUAUACACUUCAAAUUCCACAAUCCCCACAAAACAAGGGACUUGAGAUUGGGCAAGUGCCCCAACAUUGGUAUCUCUUCACAUUCUCCGCACCAAUAGAGUGAUAACGACAUUAACUUGUUUAGUAGCACCCAAGAGCCUGGAUGCGCAUCUCGAACUGCCAUCUUCUGAGUCCAUAAUGGAAACCUACUGCCUUUGAAUCCAUCAAUCUUUAACACCCUCAGAUCUGAGUGAGGCUGGAGGCCUUCCAAUACAUCCUCAUCAUUUCUUUCACCUUCUCUAAAUAGAUUCCAUUUCAAAACCAAGUUCAAUAUUUUUGACUUUUCGAAUAAAUUCGCUUUCCCAGCCUCUUCCUUCUCACGAAUCCUUUCGAGAUUGCGAAUCCGUAACUCUCCUUUAAGAUUGUUCAAACUUCCGAGCUCUUCAAUUUUGCAGCCAUUCUCGUCGCCCACUGGAAAGUGGGUUAGCGUUUGGAGAGAAAUUAAUCUCUCAAUUCCCAUAGGCAACUCUACAUCCUCAUUAAUAUAAAGAUGCCUUAAGUUAAUCAAGUGCUUAAUCGUACUUGGCAGUUUCUCCAAACAUCCUGUGUCUACUCUCAACGUCUGCAAGUGAAAGAAUUCACCAAUCCAAUCCGGCAAAACUUCAAUACUUGUCUUUGAAAUGUCAAAAUCUCUCAAAUGUAUCAACUUUUGAAUCGAACUUGGCAGCUCUUCAACUUCAGAGUCAACACGUAAAACAUGCAAACUUUCCAAGUCUAAGAAGUUGAUAUCAGAAAUAUCAGCUUUGAUGUUAUAGUAAUGUACGCAAAGAUUUUGCCGUUUCUUUUGGGAUACGCCUUGAUUCGUCUCCACAAUAGUUGUCUCCGAGAAUCAUGUAUCGAAUUCGGCUGCUACCACCUUACUGUUAACGAACUUGAAACAGAACAAGCAGAUCGUGCACAAGAUCGUGCAUGCCUAAGGCAUAGACAUUUUGAUCUCUCUUUGAAACUUGCAGUAAAGAGUUGUGCAGAAGAAUGUUGAUAAAUUUUUCGCCCAUGGACUCCAUGUCAUCCCUUUCAUCAGCUGGAAGAAAACCUUCUGCCAUCCACAACUCAAUCAGUUCUUGUAUAAUGAUUUCGGAGCCUUUAGGAAACAUCGCACAGUAAGCAAAGCACUUCUUAAGUAAUGGCAGAGACAAAUUAUCAAAGCUCAAUCUUAAUAUUUUUGUGAUAUUAUCUCCUCCUUCAUCGGGUGCAAGCCAUUUCUCCUCGAUUGAACGCCAUUUUUCCUCAGAUUGAUUGCUCAGUAUUCCCCCAACUACAUUGGCAGCCAAUGGCAAACCUUGACACCUUCUUGCUAUCUUUCUCCCAAUGGCCUCAAAUUUUGAUGGAACAUCUUUUUUCCCAAAUGUUUUUUCUUUGAUUAUCGACCAACAAUUUUCCUCUGAUAAGCCUUCCAACUCAUGUACAUGAAAUGGAUUCACAAUUGAAGCAACCUUCAUACUUCUAGUGGUGACAACAAUUGUAUUUCCCUUAACAGAACUAACUCCCAACAAGGAAUUGAUAAAAUCUUCCCAUUUAGAAAGAUCUUCAUUCCAUACAUCAUCAAGAAUAAGAAGAUAUGUUUUAUCUUUCAAAGUUUUUUGAAGUUUUGAAAGAAUAUCUUGCUUACUCUCAACUUCAACUCCAUCAGAACAAGUCAACUCUUUGAGAAUUUUUUUGAAAAGAAUGAUUGGAUCAAAACUUGGAGAAACAUGCACCCAAAUAUGUGAUCCAAAUCGAGUCUACAUUCUUUAGACGAUUGAAGACUUUCCUAGUCAAUGUUGUCUUCCCCAAUCCCCCCAUCCCGACAAUCGAAAUGAUGGAAACCGCGCGUUCAUCAGCUGUGAUGCUAUUGAUAAUCAUCUCAACUAUUUCCGACUCAACAUUAUCUCUUCCAAUAAAAAUUGGAUCAAGAGUGUAUGAAUCAGUUUCCGAAGCAGCAAUAACCAAAGCAGGCUCAUCGGCAAGCUUCUCUACGAGGCCAAGCUCGGUGGCCUCUUUGUUAAUGGAUUCCAAAUUCUCAUUGAUUUCUUUGAUUCUAAGAGCCAUAUUUCGAGAACGUGAAAUAUGGUUGAAGCAUGAGAAGCAUGAUGGUACCUUUGCCUUCUUGGGCUUGAUUUGUUUGGAGAGAAUAUGAUAGUUGAUUUCAUCCAAAACAUUGUCAGCAUCAAAAGCUACGUCUUCAAGUUUCUCCAGCCAGCCCUUGACAGCUUCGCUGGUGAUGUCACGCUUCUCGGCAUCGUUCAAGAAUUUCUGGAUGGUUUUGAGACUCGCAGCUAGCUUUGCUGCAUCUUUGUCGAGACUUCGGAUUUGAGAGAUCUCUUUCUUGGAGAGGUCGAUGAGGUUUUGGACCAGAGCUUGAAGGACGGCGGCUGCAGCUUCUCCUUCCAUUCUUUAAUUGUUGUGCUGAUAACUUAGACAGAGAGAGAAAGAGAGAAAUUGAGUGAGAAAGAGAGAGAGAGGACUAAGGAAUAGAAUUGGAUGAGAUGAGUGGUGGUAGCCGAAGAGUUUAAACU
Molecule: long non-coding RNA, 7725 nt
Filed under: Salvia miltiorrhiza (redroot sage)
Lineage: Eukaryota; Viridiplantae; Streptophyta; Magnoliopsida; Lamiales; Lamiaceae
Description: long non-coding RNA (SMIL_LNC005496)
Source: RNAcentral